Molecule: ribosomal RNA, 108 nt
Filed under: Microcebus murinus (gray mouse lemur)
Lineage: Eukaryota; Metazoa; Chordata; Mammalia; Primates; Cheirogaleidae
Source: RNAcentral
AUCUACGGCCAUACCACCCUGAACACGCCCAACCUUAUUUGAUCUCAGAAGUUAAGCAGGGUUGGGUCCGAUUAGUAGUUGGAUGGGAGAAAUGAGAUAUUUUACGUA